RNAcentral lists this ribosomal RNA (204 nucleotides) under uncultured Coriobacteriaceae bacterium. RNAcentral's name for it is "partial 16S ribosomal RNA". It matches the Rfam family "Bacterial small subunit ribosomal RNA", at positions 1179 to 1382 of the family's 1533-position model. The record is from RNAcentral. Lineage: Bacteria; Bacillati; Actinomycetota; Coriobacteriia; Coriobacteriales; Coriobacteriaceae.
AUGACGUCAAGUCAUCAUGCCCCUUAUGUCUUGGGCUGCACACGUGCUACAAUGGCCGGUACAAUGGGCUGCGAUGGGGUGACCCGGAGCGAAUCCCACAAAACCGGCCCCAGUUCGGAUCGAAGGCUGCAACUCGCCUUCGUGAAGUCGGGGUUGCUAGUAAUCGCGGAUCAGCAUGCCGCGGUGAAUACGUUCCCGGGCCUU